AAUGUUGAAAGAAGUGUGGAGGAGCCGGAAAGCUUAAAUAUAUAGAACAUAUAGUAAUAAUGUCAUAUUUUUAUUGGCAAAGACUAAACAAAAAUAUGCCAUUGUAUGGUUUCAUACCAAUCUUGGUUUCUACUAUUAUCUCAGAUCGAUAAAUUUGUUAAACAUAUAACAGAUCUGUGUUUUAAGAUAUCGCUAAAAUUAAAUUUCAUAGUUAUUAUAUAUCUCGAAAAAUAGUCAAAUAUGUUGAUAAAAAUGCAUAUAUCAAAGAGUUGAAAGUGAAAUGCAAACAAAUUAGAUUUUAAAUAUUAUGUUAUAAAUUUAGAUCUGAUAUAUAGAUAAACGAAUAUAUAUUGAUUGAGAGACAAAAACACAUGAACUCUCAAUGGGGACCC
This 392-nucleotide small RNA is filed under the name Arabidopsis thaliana (thale cress). RNAcentral's name for it is "ATSL150270". The record is from RNAcentral. Lineage: Eukaryota; Viridiplantae; Streptophyta; Magnoliopsida; Brassicales; Brassicaceae.